This 372-nucleotide ribosomal RNA is filed under the name uncultured organism. Its description in RNAcentral is "bacterial SSU rRNA". It matches the Rfam family "Bacterial small subunit ribosomal RNA", at positions 526 to 896 of the family's 1533-position model. The record is from RNAcentral.
CGUAGGUGGCAAGCGUUGUCCGGAAUUAUUGGGCGUAAAGGGCGCGUAGGCGGUCCCUUAAGUCAGAUGUGAAAUCCCGAGGCUUAGCCUCGGGCGUGCAUUUGAAACUGGGGGACUAGAGUGCAGGAGAGGUAAGUGGAAUUCCUAGUGUAGCGGUGAAAUGCGUAGAUAUUAGGAGGAACACCAGUGGCGAAGGCGACUUACUGGACUGUAACUGACGCUGAGGCGCGAAAGCGUGGGGAGCAAACAGGAUUAGAUACCCUGGUAGUCCACGCUGUAAACGAUGGAUACUAGGUGUGGGAGGUAUCGACCCCUUCCGUGCCGCAGUAAACGCAAUAAGUAUCCCGCCUGGGGAGUACGGCCGCAAGGUUG